UGGGCGCGUGGUGGAGUGGUUACCACGUCCGCUUUGCAUUCUGACUGAUAGCGGUAGGUCGCGGGUUCAAAUCCCGUCGUGUCCA
Molecule: transfer RNA, 85 nt
Filed under: Malassezia restricta
Lineage: Eukaryota; Fungi; Basidiomycota; Malasseziomycetes; Malasseziales; Malasseziaceae
Description: tRNA-Ala
Rfam family: tRNA
About the family: Transfer RNA (tRNA) molecules are approximately 80 nucleotides in length.
Source: RNAcentral